AACGAACGCUGGCGGCAGGCCUAACACAUGCAAGUCGAGCGCGCCCUUCGGGGUGAGCGGCGGACGGGUGAGUAACGCGUGGGAACGUGCCCUUCUCUGCGGAAUAUCCUCGGGAAACUGAGAGUAAUACCGCAUACGCCCUUUGGGGGAAAGAUUUAUCGGAGAAGGAUCGGCCCGCGUUGGAUUAGGUAGUUGGUGGGGUAAUGGCCCACCAAGCCGACGAUCCAUAGCUGGUUUGAGAGGAUGAUCAGCCACACUGGGACUGAGACACGGCCCAGACUCCUACGGGAGGCAGCAGUGGGGAAUCUUAGACAAUGGGGGCAACCCUGAUCUAGCCAUGCCGCGUGAGUGAUGAAGGCCUUAGGGUUGUAAAGCUCUUUCAGCUGGGAAGAUAAUGACGGUACCAGCAGAAGAAGCCCCGGCUAACUCCGUG
RNAcentral lists this ribosomal RNA (433 nucleotides) under uncultured bacterium. RNAcentral's name for it is "partial 16S ribosomal RNA". It matches the Rfam family "Bacterial small subunit ribosomal RNA", at positions 29 to 507 of the family's 1533-position model. The record is from RNAcentral.